GCCUGCUCUGACAGCUUCUCAGGCAGGCUGUGCACUGCUGGUUCAUCUGCCUGGUUCACCAUGCUGAUUCGUACCAACAUGGAAAUGGGGCCUGACCACAGAGAAAAGUGAGUCUUCAUGGACCUCAAGGUCAUUUGAAAUGAACAAUAGAUUAGUGGGUUGUUGAGCUAUUUUGACAGUGCAGAUUUUGAUAUUCAGCAAGGAAUUUAAAAAUAGACAAUGAGAGAGAGAGAUCUGUUCCUGGCCUCUGAGACUACAUCUUGAUGACCUCCAAUCAGACUCACUUCUUGUACCUCAAGAUGUUUCACAACUGGUUUUGCUGAGAAGCCAAAGGAGUUCAUGAAUAUGAGGAUGAUGGAAGGCAUCGUUGGAAGGCUAUCAAAAGAAAGUUCUUUUACUUCAAACACCAAUCAUUCUAUAACAUCUGCGAU
Molecule: long non-coding RNA, 431 nt
Filed under: Cavia porcellus (domestic guinea pig)
Lineage: Eukaryota; Metazoa; Chordata; Mammalia; Rodentia; Caviidae
Description: lncRNA (ENSCPOG00000039936.1)
Source: RNAcentral